This is a long non-coding RNA of Cygnus olor (mute swan), 981 nucleotides long. RefSeq lists it as uncharacterized. NCBI's taxonomy places the organism in Eukaryota, Metazoa, Chordata, Aves, Anseriformes, Anatidae. The transcript is spliced from 3 exons. The record is from RefSeq and is a predicted model, not a curated record.
UUCUUGGCUUUAAUACUGUGAACCCAGCCUCUUUCCUUAGUAACAGAGUUUAUUGCAUCAAGACCAUGGACACGGUAUACUCCAGCCGACCACCCCUAGAAGAUGCAGAGGCCUGGUGUAUAGACGGCAGCACCUUCGUCCGCCAGGGAUAUGCGGUACCUCACAGGAUAUGCGGUAGCAAACAUCAGCCCAAAAGGCUGAAAUCAUCGCCUUGGUACACACGAGAGGUCAGUCUGCAGGUUCUGAAGGCAAAGAAACUGCUCUGGUUUGAUGUGAAGAACCAAGACAUAGGUUGCUGUCAGAGAAAAGAUGCUGUCAAAGUGUGUCACGUCUAUGCUAGAGCACCUCUACCACCAUCUAUACUGCAUCUAUAUGCAUCUCUACUAGAGCAUCUCUACUUAUCCAGUCUGGGUGAUCUUACGAGCAUUCUGAAGACCCAGAGGAGGGUCUGUUUGUCUUUUCUGCUUUUAUAGCCAGUGAAAAUUCUUACAAUUUUACACAGAGGGGACGAAAAACACUAAGUGUACUUCCAAUCUUCACAACUUCUAAGCAAGCGGAGAUGAGGUUGUGGAACAACCAAAUAAACUGUUGAUCUAGAAGCAGCCUAAAGAUUGUCUUUAAGCAGGACCUUGCAUUCUUCAUUUUUAUAGCAUUACUUGCCUUCAAGUGCACGAUCAUUAUUUUAUUACCUUUCUACCCCUACAGAAAUGCACCUGAUUCUUUCACAAAACUUACGGGUGGUCAUUGGAAAUAUUCCUCAGCAUUCGUCUCAGUUCUCUUUUGGCCUGUGAAGCUUUUAAGAUCAGAGAUGAAGAUCAGCUAUAAUAUGGAGUUUUGGAAAAUUACCAGGACAUACAGUUCUCCUCUAGCUUGCUUUGUUUCACUCAGAAUCUGAGUCUUGAGUCACAGUCAGGGAGCAGCAUUGUACAGAAAUGCCAAAGCCUCCCCAGACUUGUUGUAUCUUCCUCAACAAGGGCUUUG